Molecule: ribosomal RNA, 1289 nt
Filed under: metagenome
Description: SSU rRNA
Rfam family: Eukaryotic small subunit ribosomal RNA
Source: RNAcentral
AUGCGGGACUCAUCAGAGGCCUCGCAAUUGGAAUGAGCGCACUUUAAAUCGUUCGACGAGGAUCUAUUGGAGGGCAAGUCUGGUGCCAGCAGCCGCGGUAAUUCCAGCUCCAAUAGCGUAUAUUAAAGUUGUUGCAGUUAAAAAGCUCGUAGUUGGAUCUGGGGUUCGGGUCGGCGGUUUGCCGCUUCGGCGGCUACUGCCGUGCUCGACUCUUACUAGCCGGUGCGUCUUGCGGUGCUCUUCAUCGAGUGCCGUAGGAGCCUGGCAUGUUUACUUUGAAAAAAUUAGAGUGCUCAAAGCAGGCGAUUCCGCCUGAAUAGUGUUGCAUGGAAUAAUGGAAUAGGACCUCGGUUCUAUUUUGUUGGUUUUCGGAACUUGAGGUAAUGAUUAAGAGGGACGGUCGGGGGCAUUCGUAUUUCGGUGUUAGAGGUGAAAUUCUUGGAUCGCUGAAAGACGGACAAAUGCGAAAGCAUCUGCCAAGAACGUCUCCAUUAAUCAAGAACGAAAGUCAGAGGUUCGAAGACGAUCAGACACCGUCCUAGUUCUGACCAUAAACGAUGCCAACUAGCGAUCCGCAGUGGUUGCUAUAAACGGACUCUGCGAGCAGCUUCCGGGAAACCAAAGUGUUUGGGUUCCGGGGGAAGUAUGGUUGCAAAGCUGAAACUUAAAGGAAUUGACGGAAGGGCACCACCAGGAGUGGAGCCUGCGGCUUAAUUUGACCCAACACGGGGAAACUCACCCGGUCCGGACACUGUAAGGAUUGACAGAUCGAGAGCUCUUACUUGAUUCGGUGGAUGGUGGUGCAUGGCCGUUCUUAGUUGGUGGAGUGAUUUGUCUGGUUAAUUCCGAUAUCGAACGAGACUCUAGCCUGCUAACUAGUUGCGCCGUGUUCAUACGCGGCUGUAGACUUCUUAGAGGGACAGGUGGCGUUUAGCCACACGAAAUUGAGCAAUAACAGGUCUGUGAUGCCCUUAGAUGUCCGGGGCCGCACGCGCGCUACACUGAAGGAGUCAGCGUGUGCUAUCCGGGCUCGGAAGAGUUCGGUAACCCGUUGAAACUCCUUCGUGCUUGGGAUUGUGGCUUGUAAUUAUCGCGCAUGAACGAGGAAUUCCCAGUAAGUGCAAGUCAUCAGCUUGCGCUGACUACGUCCCUGCCCUUUGUACACACCGCCCGUCGCUACUACCGAUUGAAUGGUUUAGCAAGGUACUCGGAUUGGUCUCGAUCUUGUACGAAAGUGCGGGAUCUGUGGCCGAGAAGAAGGCCAAACUUGAUCAUUUAGAGGAAGUAAA